RNAcentral lists this ribosomal RNA (1493 nucleotides) under metagenome. RNAcentral describes it as "bacterial SSU rRNA". It matches the Rfam family "Bacterial small subunit ribosomal RNA". The record is from RNAcentral.
AGAGUUUGAUCCUGGCUCAGAUUGAACGCUGGCGGCAUGCCUUACACAUGCAAGUCGAACGGCAGCACGGGGGCAACCCUGGUGGUAGUGGCGAACGGGUGAGUAAUACAUCGGAACGUACCUGGAAGUGGGGGAUAACGUAGCGAAAGUUACGCUAAUACCGCAUAUUCUGUGAGCAGGAAAGCAGGGGACCGCAAGGCCUCGCGCUUUUGGAGCGGCCGAUGUCGGAUUAGCUGGUUGGUGGGGUAAAGGCCUACCAAGGCGACGAUCCGUAGCGGGUCUGAGAGGAUGAUCCGCCACACUGGGACUGAGACACGGCCCAGACUCCUACGAGGCAGCAGUGGGGAAUUUUGGACAAUGGGCGCAAGCCUGAUCCAGCCAUGCCGCGAGAGUGAAGAAGGCCUUCGGGUUGUAAAGCUCUUUCGGUGGGGAAGAAAUCGCAUUCUUUAAUAGAGGGUGUGGAUGACGGUACCCACAUAAGAAGCACCGGCUAACUACGUGCCAGCAGCCGCGGUAAUACGUAGGGUGCGAGCGUUAAUCGGAAUUACUGGGCGUAAAGCGUGCGCAGGCGGUUGUGUAAGUCAGAUGUGAAAUCCCCGGGCUCAACCUGGGAACUGCAUUUGAGACUGCACGGCUAGAGUGUGGCAGAGGGGGGUGGAAUUCCACGUGUAGCAGUGAAAUGCGUAGAGAUGUGGAGGAACACCGAUGGCGAAGGCAGCCCCCUGGGCCAAGACUGACGCUCAUGCACGAAAGCGUGGGGAGCAAACAGGAUUAGAUACCCUGGUAGUCCACGCCCUAAACGAUGUCUACUAGAUGUUGGAAGGGUUAAACCUUUUAGUGUCGCAGCUAACGCGUGAAGUUGACCGCCUGGGGAGUACGGCCGCAAGGCUAAAACUCAAAGGAAUUGACGGGGACCCGCACAAGCGGUGGAUGAUGUGGAUUAAUUCGAUGCAACGCGAAAAACCUUACCUACCCUUGACAUGUCAGGAACCCUGGAGAGAUCUGGGGGUGCCCGAAAGGGAGCCUGAACACAGGUGCUGCAUGGCUGUCGUCAGCUCGUGUCGUGAGAUGUUGGGUUAAGUCCCGCAACGAGCGCAACCCUUGUCGUUAAUUGCCAUCAUCGAGUUGGGCACUUUAAUGAGACUGCCGGUGACAAACCGGAGGAGGGUGGGGAUGACGUCAAGUCCUCAUGGCCCUUAUGGGUAGGGCCUCACACGUCAUACAAUGGUCGGUUCAGAGGGUUGCCAAGCCGCGAGGCGGAGCUAAUCUCAGAAAGCCGAUCGUAGUCCGGAUUGCAGUCUGCAACUCGACUGCAUGAAGUCGGAAUCGCUAGUAAUCGCGGAUCAGCAUGCCGCGGUGAAUACGUUCCCGGGUCUUGUACACACCGCCCGUCACACCAUGGGAGCGGGUUCUGCCAGAAGUAGUUAGCCUAACCGUGAGGAGGGCGAUUACCACGGCAGGGUUCGUGACUGGGGUGAAGUCGAAACAAGGUA